RNAcentral lists this small RNA (2878 nucleotides) under Pongo abelii (Sumatran orangutan). RNAcentral's name for it is "retained intron". Lineage: Eukaryota; Metazoa; Chordata; Mammalia; Primates; Hominidae. The record is from RNAcentral.
UUUUAUAAAAUGAUAGCAGGAGAAAUCCUGCUCUUGAGUCCUCACAACCUGUGGGGUCCAGCUGCAGUCAGGCCCCGAGUGCGGUCGUAGAGGCGACGCUGGAGGGAGGGGAGCGCUUAGGCUUUUUGCAAACAGCCGGGCUGUACUUGCUUCUGGUGAAGCCUGUGAUGCAGUCUGGAUUUCGGUCAGCAGUCACCUUUCUUCUCUUCGCCUUCCUUUGUCUGCGUUGGGAGGGGUGGGAAGGAGGAGGACGGUUUCUGGCCUGGCCUUUCACCUGGCUUUUCUGAUUUCUGACUCUUACCUUGGUGUGGAUUAUUCCUUCUCCCUGGAAGGUUUCUGAAAAAUGUUUAGGAGAACUACUUUUUUUUUUUUUUUUUGGAGACGGAGUCUUGCUCUGUCACCCAGGCUGGGGUGCAGUGGCAUGAUCUCGACUCACUGCAACCUCCGCCUUCCAGGUUCAAGCGAUUCUCCUGCCUCAGCCUCCCGAGUAGCCGGGAUUACAGGCACCUGCCACCAUGCCCAACUAAUUUUUGUAUUUUCAGUAGAGACAGGGUUUCACCAUGUUGGCCAGGCUGGUCUCGAACUCCUGAUCUCAGGUGAUCCACCUGCCUGGGCCUCCCAAAGUGCUCAGAUUACAGGCGUGAGCCACCAUACCAGGCCGGAGAACUACCUUUAUUAUUGUUCUUGCAUCUUAAAAAAUUCCCUAAGGCCUUAAAGCCAAGCGGUGGUCUCGCACAGGCAAGGCUUGUUUCUGUUUGCUUGGGCUGUGGAAUCGCUGGGCUGUCCUCCCCAGCCAAGGGCACCUGAGCAGCCGUUCUGUUGGCAACUAUCCUCUGCGUGAACUUUGAAGGAGACACAUGCUUUCCCAAUCAUCUCAGUUUCUUUCUGGGAUGUAAAGAAUCAUUUAAAUUAUGAACACAGAGUCUUUAAUAGUGAAGAAUUUCUCAAAACCAGGGCUCCAGGGGACCAUCGGUUUUAUAAGCAGGUCUUAGACACCUACAUGUUCCAUUCUUUUCUUAAAGCCCGGCUCAAUAGGAGGAUGGAUGCCUUUGCUCAGAUGGACCUCGACACCCAAUCGGAGGAGGACAGAAUAAAUGGAAUGCUUCUAAGUCCAAGGAGACCGACCGUUGAGAAAAUAGCCUCCCGGAAGUCCUCACAUCUGCACAUCACCCACAGGCGCAUGGUGGUCAGCAUGCCCAACCUGCAGGACAUUGCCAUGCCUGAGCUGGCACCCAGGAACUCCUCGCUCCGGCUGACGGACACCGCAGGCUGUAGGGGAAGCAGCUCAGUUCUGAAUGUCACGCCGAAGUCCCCAUAUACAUUCAAGAUUCCCGAAAUCCACUUUCCGCUGGAGAGCAGGUACGUGCAGGCAUACUAUGCCGACUUUGUCUCCAUGCUGAGCAAGGCCAUGGGCUUUCUGGCCCCCGAUAACUCUCUGCUCCUGGCCCGCUAUUUCUACCUCCGAGGGCUCGUUCAUCUGAUGCAAGGACAGCUGCUGAGCGCCCUCUUGGACUUCCAGAAUCUGUAUAAAACAGACAUACGGAUCUUUCCCGCUGAUUUGGUGAAGAGGACGGUGGAAUCCAUGUCUGCCCCUGAGCGGGCGCAGGCUCAGCGGGCGCCGGAGCUGAUGAGGCUCAUCAGCGAGAUCCUGGACAAGCCGCACGAGGCCUCGAAGCUGGACGACCACGUGAAGAAGUUCGAGCUGCCCAAGAAGCACAUGCAGCUGGGCGACUUCAUGAAGCGGGUCCAGGAGUCAGGGAUCGUGAAGGAUGCCAGCACCAUACACCGGCUGUUCGAGGCCUUGACUGUAGGACAGGAGAAACAAAUCGACCCAGAAACAUUCAAAGAUUUCUACAACUGCUGGAAGGAGACGGAAGCAGAAGCCCAGGAGGUCAGUCUGCCGUGGCUGGUGAUGGAACACCUGGAUAAAAAUGAGUGUGUGUAUAAGUUGUCCAGCUCCGUCAAGACAAACCUAGGUGUUGGCAAGAUCGCCAUGACCCAGAAGCGCCUGUUCCUCCUAACCGAAGGAAGGCCAGGCUACAUGGAGAUUUCCACCUUCAGAAAUAUAGAGGUAAGGACAGCACGGGCAGACGGCACCAGACCCCACCUGUGUUUAGGAGACAGAUGGCUGGAGUGGGCCCUGAGCUGUCUGCCAGCCGUGCCAAGUACCAGCUGCAGUGCUUCUGCAGACCGCUUGCCUUCCUGUCCCUCAGUUUGCUCAUGUGUAAAGCAGGAAUAAGGCUGAUACCUUCUCAGUGGGUGGUGGGGAUUGAAUAGUUUGCAUAUGGAGCAUGCUUAGAAUGGUAACUGAUUCUCUGACACAGCUGACUUGCAUCUGGGAGGCAGGAAGUAAGCAGCAAUGUGGGCUGACAUUCUCAUUAGGGACAGUAGGACGCCUUCGUUCAUCCAUGAGAUGUUUACUGAGAAACCGCCGUGUGCCAGCCACGGUGAGCUACAGUAGCUCAUAUUUUCUAGUCACAGUCGGACCUGGUUCAUAUAAAACAUAACAAUUUUAUUUUAUAACAAUUAAAAAAUCUUUGAACAGUUUUAACAUUAUACUCUAAAGGUAGUCAUUUUCCCUGUCGAGGAAAUCUGAAUUUCAUCCUGAUUCCUCUUACGCCUUAUAGUUGUUUUCCCAGAUUUAAGAGGACUGUAAGAGGCGUGUCAGAUACACGAAUGUUUUAUGUGAUCACUUACUGAGUGGUCAUAGAAGCCGGAAAGGCAGUCAAACCACAGCCGCAGCCCAUAGUAAAUGCUCGGCCAGUAGAUCCCCCUCUUGCUGUUGGCCUUCACUUUAUGCUUUUCUCCACACCUGCUUUGCCAGACUUCUAGAAUUCCAAAGAAAGGUAAAUAAGUACCAGGAAAGGGAGAUGGAAGU